Vicia faba (fava bean) is the source of this 195-nucleotide non-coding RNA. NCBI's taxonomy places the organism in Eukaryota, Viridiplantae, Streptophyta, Magnoliopsida, Fabales, Fabaceae. The record is from the annotation of a GenBank genome assembly.
AUGGUAACAAAUAUUUACACUUCUCCUGUGUCAGAAUACCAUUUUGGCAGAGAAGACUCUUACACUUAUAUUUCUUUUGCUUCAUAUUUGUUCCUAAUACAAACUCCAAUUGUAGCUAGACAUGCCAUCAAAAAGCAAACUAGAAGAAAAUUCUUAUUCUUAUACUUACAUAAAAUUUUAUUGACAAGAAAAUAA